Molecule: ribosomal RNA, 588 nt
Filed under: uncultured bacterium
Lineage: Bacteria
Description: bacterial SSU rRNA
Rfam family: Bacterial small subunit ribosomal RNA
Source: RNAcentral
CCUACGGGAGGCAGCAGUGGGGAAUUUUGGACAAUGGGCGCAAGCCUGAUCCAGCAAUGCCGCGUGAGUGAAGAAGGCCUUCGGGUUGUAAAGCUCUUUUGUCAGGGAAGAAACGGUGAGGGCUAAUAUCCCUUGCUAAUGACGGUACCUGAAGAAUAAGCACCGGCUAACUACGUGCCAGCAGCCGCGGUAAUACGUAGGGUGCAAGCGUUAAUCGGAAUUACUGGGCGUAAAGCGUGCGCAGGCGGUUGUGCAAGACCGAUGUGAAAUCCCCGGGCUUAACCUGGGAAUGGCAUUGGUGACUGCACGGCUAGAGUGUGUCAGAGGGGGGUAGAAUUCCACGUGUAGCAGUGAAAUGCGUAGAGAUGUGGAGGAAUACCGAUGGCGAAGGCAGCCCCCUGGGAUAACACUGACGCUCAUGCACGAAAGCGUGGGGAGCAAACAGGAUUAGAUACCCUGGUAGUCCACGCCCUAAACGAUGUCAACUAGUUGUCGGGUCUUAAUUGACUUGGUAACGCAGCUAACGCGUGAAGUUGACCGCCUGGGGAGUACGGUCGCAAGAUUAAAACGUCAAAUUGAAAUUGACGG